AUUGAACGCUGGCGGCAGGCCUAACACAUGCAAGUCGAACGGUAACAGGAAACAGCUUGCUGUUUCGCUGACGAGUGGCGGACGGGUGAGUCAUGUCUGGGAAACUGCCUGAUGGAGGGGGAUAACUACUGGAAACGGUAGCUAAUACCGCAUAACGUCGCAAGAGCAAAGAGGGGGACCUUCGGGCCUCUUUCCAUCGGAUGUGCCCAGAUGGGAUUAGCUAGUAGGUGGGGUAAAGGCUCACCUAGGCGACGAUCCCUAGCUGGUCUGAGAGGAUGACCAGCCACACUGGAACUGAGACACGGUCCAGACUCCUACGGGAGGCAGCAGUGGGGAAUAUUGCACAAUGGGCGCAAGCCUGAUGCAGCCAUGCCGCGUGUAUGAAGAAGGCCUUCGGGUUGUAAAGUACUUGCAGCGGGGAGGAAGGGAGUAAAGUUAAUACCUUUGCUCAUUGACGUUACCCGCAGAAGAAGCACCGGCUAACUCCGUG
This 490-nucleotide ribosomal RNA is filed under the name uncultured bacterium. Its description in RNAcentral is "partial 16S ribosomal RNA". It matches the Rfam family "Bacterial small subunit ribosomal RNA", at positions 30 to 507 of the family's 1533-position model. The record is from RNAcentral.